Molecule: unclassified non-coding RNA, 508 nt
Filed under: Vishniacozyma victoriae
Lineage: Eukaryota; Fungi; Basidiomycota; Tremellomycetes; Tremellales; Bulleribasidiaceae
Description: sequence contains 18S rRNA gene, ITS1, 5.8S rRNA gene, ITS2
Rfam family: 5.8S ribosomal RNA (bases 190-343)
Source: RNAcentral
UGGAAGUAAUAGUCGUAACAAGGUUUCCGUAGGUGAACCUGCGGAAGGAUCAUUAAUAGUGCCCUCUGAUGCAAGUCAUUGGGUUAGAUCUGCUCUCCUCGCAAGAGGAGGGUUUCCAUACACACCGUGAACUGUGGCUUCGGCCAUCACAAACUGUUAGUAAUGAAUGUAAAAUCAUAACAAAAACAAAACUUUUAACAACGGAUCUCUUGGCUCUCGCAUCGAUGAAGAACGCAGCGAAAUGCGAUAAGUAAUGUGAAUUGCAGAAUUCAGUGAAUCAUCGAAUCUUUGAACGCACCUUGCGCCCUUUGGUAUUCCGAAGGGCAUGCCUGUUUGAGUGUCAUGAAACCUCACCCCACUUGGGUUUUUGCCUGAGCGGUGGUGUAUUGGGUGUUGCCUUGCUAAAGGCUCGCCUUAAAGACAUAAGCACCUUGGAUGUAAUACGUUUCAUCCUUCUGGGUGGCUGAUAACCCCACAUAUUCAUGAUCUGGCCUCAAAUCAGGUAGGG